This 645-nucleotide ribosomal RNA is filed under the name uncultured bacterium. Its description in RNAcentral is "bacterial SSU rRNA". It matches the Rfam family "Bacterial small subunit ribosomal RNA", at positions 185 to 831 of the family's 1533-position model. The record is from RNAcentral.
ACGGCAUCGUGUGGUUUUGAAGAGAAUAUCGGAGACGGAUGGGCAUGCGGCGCAUUAGCUGGUUGGCGGGGUAACGGCCCACCAAGGCGACGAUGCGUAGGGGUUCUGAGAGGAAGGUCCCCCACACUGGUACUGAGACACGGACCAGACUCCUACGGGAGGCAGCAGUGAGGAAUAUUGGUCAAUGGGCGAGAGCCUGAACCAGCCAAGUCGCGUGAGGGAGUACUGCCCUAUGGGUUGUAAACCUCUUUUGUCGGGGAGCAAAAGCCGGACGUGUCCGGCUGUGAGAGUACCCGAAGAAAAAGCAUCGGCUAACUCCGUGCCAGCAGCCGCGGUAAUACGGAGGAUGCGAGCGUUAUCCGGAUUUAUUGGGUUUAAAGGGUGCGCAGGCGGAUUUUUAAGUCAGCGGUCAAAUCGUGGGGCUCAACCCCAUCCAGCCGUUGAAACUGGGGAUCUAGAGUGUGCGAGAGGUAUGCGGAAUGCGUGGUGUAGCGGUGAAAUGCAUAGAUAUCACGCAGAACCCCGAUUGCGAAGGCAGCAUACCGGUGCACAACUGACGCUCAGGCACGAAAGCGUGGGUAUCGAACAGGAUUAGAUACCCUGGUAGUCCACGCAGUAAACGAUGAAUGCUACCUGUUUGGCCAG